Molecule: ribosomal RNA, 2055 nt
Filed under: Plasmodium vivax North Korean
Lineage: Eukaryota; Apicomplexa; Aconoidasida; Haemosporida; Plasmodiidae
Description: SSU rRNA
Rfam family: Eukaryotic small subunit ribosomal RNA
Source: RNAcentral
CCUGGUUGAUCUUGCCAGUAGUCAUAUGCUUGUCUCAAAGAUUAAGCCAUGCAAGUGAAAGUAUAUGCAUAUUUUAUAUGUAGAAACUGCGAACGGCUCAUUAAAACAGUUAUAAUCUACUUGACAUUUUUUCUAUAAGGAUAACUACGGAAAAGCUGUAGCUAAUACUUGCUUUAGCACUCUUGAUUCAUUUCUUGAGUGUGUACUUGUUAAGCCUUUUAAGAAAAAAGUUAUUAACUUAAGGAAUUAUAACAAAGAAGCGACACGUAAUGGAUCCGUCCAUUUUUAGUGUGUAUCAAUCGAGUUUCUGACCUAUCAGCUUUUGAUGUUAGGGUAUUGGCCUAACAUUGCUAUGACGGGUAACGGGGAAUUAGAGUUCGAUUCCGGAGAGGGAGCCUGAGAAAUAGCUACCACAUCUAAGGAAGGCAGCAGGCGCGUAAAUUACCCAAUUCUAAAGAAGAGAGGUAGUGACAAGAAAUAACAAUACAAGGCCAAUCUGGCUUUGUAAUUGGAAUGAUGGGAAUUUAAAACCUUCCCAAAACUCAAUUGGAGGGCAAGUCUGGUGCCAGCAGCCGCGGUAAUUCCAGCUCCAAUAGCGUAUAUUAAAAUUGUUGCAGUUAAAACGCUCGUAGUUGAAUUUCAAGGAAUCGAUAUUUUAAGCAACGCUUUUAGCUUAAUCCACAUAACUGAUACUUCGUAUCGACUUUGUGCGCAUUUUGCUAUUAUGUGUUCUUUUAAUUAAAAUGAUUCUUUUUAAGGAUUUUCUUUGCUUCGGCUUGGAAGUCCUUGUUACUUUGAGUAAAUUAGAGUGUUCAAAGCAAACAGAUAUAGCAUUGCGCGUUUGAAUACUACAGCAUGGAAUAACAAAAUUGAACAAGUCAGAAUUUUGUUCUUUUUUCUUAUUUUGGCUUAGUUACGAUUAAUAGGAGUAGCUUGGGGGCAUUUGUAUUCAGAUGUCAGAGGUGAAAUUCUUAGAUUUUCUGGAGACAAACAACUGCGAAAGCAUUUGUCUAAAAUACUUCCAUUAAUCAAGAACGAAAGUUAAGGGAGUGAAGACGAUCAGAUACCGUCGUAAUCUUAACCAUAAACUAUGCCGACUAGGCUUUGGAUGAAAGAUUUUAAAAUAAGAAUUUUCUCUUCGGAGUUUAUUCUUAGAUUGCUUCCUUCAGUGCCUUAUGAGAAAUCAAAGUCUUUUGGGUUCUGGGGCGAGUAUUCGCGCAAGCGAGAAAGUUAAAAGAAUUGACGGAAGGGCACCACCAGGCGUGGAGCUUGCGGCUUAAUUUGACUCAACACGGGAAAACUCACUAGUUUAAGACAAGAGUAGGAUUGACAGAUUAAUAGCUCUUUCUUGAUUUCUUGGAUGGUGAUGCAUGGCCGUUUUUAGUUCGUGAAUAUGAUUUGUCUGGUUAAUUCCGAUAACGAACGAGAUCUUAACCUGCUAAUUAGCGGCAAAUACGAUAUAUUCUUACGUGGGACUGAAUUCGGUUGAUUUGCUUACUUUGAAGAAAAUAUUGGGAUACGUAACAGUUUCCCUUUCCCUUUUCUACUUAGUUCGCUUUUCAUACUGUUUCUUUUUCGCGUAAGAAUGUAUUUGCUUGAUUGUAAAGCUUCUUAGAGGAACGAUGUGUGUCUAACACAAGGAAGUUUAAGGCAACAACAGGUCUGUGAUGUCCUUAGAUGAACUAGGCUGCACGCGUGCUACACUGAUAUGUAUAACGAGUUAUUAAAAUUACGAUUCAGCUUGCUGUUUCGUAUUUUUCCUCCACUGAAAAGUGUAGGUAAUCUUUAUCAGUACAUAUCGUGAUGGGGAUAGAUUAUUGCAAUUAUUAAUCUUGAACGAGGAAUGCCUAGUAAGCAUGAUUCAUUAGAUUGUGCUGACUACGUCCCUGCCCUUUGUACACACCGCCCGUCGCUCCUACCGAUUGAAAGAUAUGAUGAAUUGUUUGGACAAGAAGAAGGGGGAUUAUAUCUCCUUUUUUCUGGAAAAACCGUAAAUCCUAUCUUUUAAAGGAAGGAGAAGUCGUAACAAGGUUUCCGUAGGUGAACCUGCGGAAG